Molecule: ribosomal RNA, 433 nt
Filed under: uncultured Acetivibrio sp.
Lineage: Bacteria; Bacillati; Bacillota; Clostridia; Acetivibrionales; Acetivibrionaceae
Description: bacterial SSU rRNA
Rfam family: Bacterial small subunit ribosomal RNA
Source: RNAcentral
ACGGAAGGCAGCAGUGGGGGAUAUUGCGCAAUGGGGCAACCCUGACGCAGCAACGCCGCGUGAAGGAAGACGGUUUUCGGAUUGUAAACUUCUCUAAGUGUGGAAGAAGAUGACGGUACACACAGAAUAAGCCACGGCUAACUACGUGCCAGCAGCCGCGGUAAUACGUAGGUGGCGAGCGUUGUCCGGAUUUACUGGGUGUAAAGGGCGUGUAGGCGGGAUUACAAGUCAGAUGUGAAAUACCGAGGCUUAACUUCGGGGCUGCAUUUGAAACUGUAGUUCUUGAGUGUCGGAGAGGAAAGCGGAAUUCCUAGUGUAGCGGUGAAAUGCGUAGAUAUUAGGAGGAACACCGGUGGCGAAGGCGGCUUUCUGGACGAUAACUGACGCUGAGGCGCGAAAGUGUGGGGAGCAAACAGGAUUAGAUACCCUGGUA